This 1614-nucleotide small RNA is filed under the name Rattus norvegicus (Norway rat). Its description in RNAcentral is "uncharacterized LOC102546397". Lineage: Eukaryota; Metazoa; Chordata; Mammalia; Rodentia; Muridae. The record is from RNAcentral.
AUGAGCUCCCAACAGUGUACUGCUUCACAGCCAUUGACCUUACUGGUAGAUAUCCCUGGAAAGUUUCCAGCUCUCAGUUUACUUGAAAUGACUUUCAUGAAGCAGAGAAAAUUGAUUGGGAAGAAAAUUUGCCAGCGUUCAGCUUGAACAGGAAAACUGCUGUGGUGUAUGACAAAGGUACUGGAGAAAUAGCAUAUAAGGGAAGGAUGAAACUAAACCAGGAAUGGAUGAACUUCUGUGGCUACAGGGCUACAGGGAAUGGAAAAACAAGAUACCCUACAUAGUAGCAGGGAGAAGCAUUUGCAAGCCACUUCAAGGGCAACUGUGUGGAAGAGUUUCAGCACAAUAUUGAUGUGGUCAAGACACUUGAGGUCAUGUGCAGAGAAUGGAUCAGAGGAUGGCAAGUCUGAAUGUUUGGAGACUGGUUCUUAAGCCAUGAGAUUUUCUACGUCUUGGUGGAGAGAGUAAGAAAUGAUGUGAGCAGGAAGUCUAUAAAUCUUUGGGUGGUGAUUCUAAAACUGUAGGUCUUGGGUUGCAAGAGAACGCACUAGAGAUCAGAUCACACGCGGAUUCUCCUCAGAGGACGAGCACCUAGACCACAGGGAAAAAUGGACUGAGCGGUGAAGGGAAAUUUCUGGGCAACACUGUAAUCGUUUAUGGGACUUGUUCUGCCAAUAGCAGCCUGAAGGAUCGUGGCUGGAAAAUCAAUAUGGAAAGAGGGGGGGAAAUUUAAAGACGUCUUGAGGAAAAUGAAAAAAAAAAAAAAAAACCCAGCCUCAUUAAAACAUUUGGAAGUAAUUACGGAAGCCACCUUGAAAUAAUCAGCCCUAAGUACAGCUUCAGAAAAGUGUAGUCUUAGCUCAGUUAACUCUUCCGAUCCCACGCAGAUGUGGGUUUCCACAGACACAACCUGAGCUCAGUAAACCCCCUGAUACCCUCUGAACUCAUUCUAAACAGGAACCGCUGGUGUACAGGGAAGGGGGCUGCACCAAACAUGGAAGAACUAUGAAUUAGAGAAGCCAUACAAAUUACCUCUGAAAAUCAUAGAAACCGAAGAAGAGCCCUAGCAACGCGUCACGGUCUUGCAUCAGAGAAACAGCUUGAAAUGUAAUGUCUGUAAUCAGCUUGGGAAUGAAGCAUAUUUCUAAAUCAGGCCUUUCUGACUUAUUUGUUAAAUGACCCCAGAAAACAAGGCACAACAGAAGAGAGCCAGCCCCAGGUGUGUGAGCUCCUGGCCCUUCCUUUCCACCAGGACACGCUAGGAGUAAGUGUCAUGGGUCAGGACUUCAGCAAGCCCAGGAAUGCCGGGAUCUCUGGUUAACCUCUGAGCAAGGCUGGUUUGCCAGUUUCCACCACCCAUCUCUCCGCUGUGUGCUUAGAAGCCCACACCACCAGAUCGAGUCUGUCUUUUCCCAUGAGUCCUUAGCAUGGAACUUAGGUCUUUAUUCUUGAACAGAAAGUGCUCUUUUAACUGAUCCAUCCUUCCAGUUCCCUAGAAGCAUCUUUAAAGGUGUUUCUGAGUCAGAGAAAGUUUAUAGGUCCUCAUUGGAAAGAGUAACUGCUUUCAUGACGCAUGGAGAGGCCUGAAGCUCAGAACGCCAUUUGGGGGAAUUU